UUCUAUACUGUAGGUCCUGGAAAGCCAUUUCAAACUACAAUGAUACCUAAUGUCUCAGAACAUGGGAGACAGAUUUCCUGAUAUCUUCUUUCUUGGGCAGAGGGGAAGGAAAUGAUCUUUAUCUAUGUUAACACCUAAAGCAGGGACUUCAUCCAGAGAAUAUUUGUAAUCACCCAUUAGGAUUCCCACAAGUCGAGGCAACUACAGUAGGGUUGGUAGCCUUUGGCAUCUAUAUACUAGGGAAACAAAGUGGGUGAGAAGCUUAUUUGCAGGGGCAGGAGGAGGGAUGGUGUUCCUCAGGCUUUAUUUAUAAAAGAAAUGGGAGGAAGGUACAUAUGACAAGCAAUGGUUCUCCUAAGUCCAGGAGACCAAGGGGUGGAAGGAACCCCUGCAUGUCUACAUGGAACACAACAGGUGUUCUGAGUGUUUAGGUGCCGACAUUAAAUGGCUUUAGCAGCAGUAGAGGUCAAUGAAAGGGCCCGGAUUGAAAAGAUGUGUGAGAACUAUCAGCUAGUUCACAAAACACAGCUCCACAGACUUCCUGUAACAACUGGGCAAACCACUGAAAGAGGACUGAGUGUUUGCCUUGUGCAAGCCAGGGGAAACUGAAUCAGGGGUUAGUGGGAAAGUAGUGGCCACCAAAAACAUAGGAGGUCUAGGGUAACUAGUUCAAUUUAGUGCAAGCUGUUCUUCCAGCACUUCAGGGGAUCAAUAAUGUUCUCUAGAUACAGAAGCCAUGUGGCCCCUCUAGUGGCUUGUACCCUCUUAAAGAUGGCACUCUUGAAUGUAGAAUCUUCAACGAUAGAUCAGGGAGAAGAGUUAUCAUUAUCAUCAUUGUGCCAAGAAAGAAAACAGAACACAGACAUCCAGUAAUUUAUACCAGCCAGACCAUCCUACGUCUUCCAGGCUUGCUUCUCUUGGAAAUCCAUUUCAGAAUAAUACCUGCCUCAGAUAAGGAGAAUCAACUGCACAUCUAUGUAAAGCAAGAAAAAAAGGAAGAGAAAGGAUUGGAUACUCACUGCAUCCCUCCGCACUUUUUUUCUUUGUAUUUUUAUUGCUGUUCAUUGCUUUAAGGAGAAAAGGGUAGCCUGUCUGAGCAAUGAGGUAAUGAAUAUGAAUCACCUGCCAUGACUCUGCUCUCUGAACACAACAUGGGACGUAAAUGAAAGCUCUGCAUAGCUCCAAGGAGCUGGCCUCACCCUCCCUUGAAUGCAGCUGGAUUGUCUCAGUGGCAGCAGAGAAGUGAAAAGAGAAGUCUGUACAGUGGAGAGAAUUCCCCCUUGUGAGUUACUAAACUUGCAAAACUUUGGAAAUUCAAGUCUUCUGACCAUUUUUCUUUUAAAAACAAAAUAGUCUUCAGGAAAUUACUUUUUUAAUUAAUUUAUUAUUUUUAUUUAUUUAUUUUUAAGUCCAAAGGCUAACAUUUUGGCCUCGUGACAGGUUUCUGAAAAAGUAAUUUCUUGACUUUAAUUAAUUUCUAAAUAAUUGUAUUUCUAGCCAGUGCAUAGAGGAUUAUAAGACAGACACAUGUCUACAGAAAGAAAAAGGCAUUGGCUGUCAUGGACAAUCCUCCUGGCUCUCUCGAAGCUCAAUGAGAAUGAUAUUCAUAUAAAUAAUUACAAAUUUGAGUCUCCCAAGUAAGGAAGAGCUGUCUGAGUCAGUGUAUGCAUCAGUAUGGAGGGAUAAGGGUGCACAUAUGGAAUUGGACACUCAUUUCUGUAGAAUGAUGACAGUAUCAAUAUUAAUCAAAUGAAUAGAGAAUUUGCAAAUGUCACCAGUUUUCCUCCAGGUCCCCAUAGUGCUUAUGGUACUGAAUCCCCGUUGCCGGAUAGAAGUAGAAA
This is a long non-coding RNA of Canis lupus familiaris (dog), 1841 nucleotides long. RefSeq lists it as uncharacterized. Lineage: Eukaryota; Metazoa; Chordata; Mammalia; Carnivora; Canidae. The transcript is spliced from 3 exons. The record is from RefSeq and is a predicted model, not a curated record.